AUAUUCCCCAUACUGAGAGGGGUGAGAACCCUCGACAAGGUUUGACGGCCAGAGGCCGCCCAAAGGGUGAGCGUAGCGAAUCAAGCCCUCUCUCACCGCCA
RNAcentral lists this small RNA (101 nucleotides) under Serratia sp. S1B. RNAcentral's name for it is "RtT sRNA". It matches the Rfam family "RtT RNA". Rfam says of the family: This family represents a bacterial cis-regulatory element known as RtT RNA. The exact function of RtT is unknown although it is thought that it may be involved in changing the cellular response in relation to amino acid starvation. The record is from RNAcentral. Lineage: Bacteria; Pseudomonadati; Pseudomonadota; Gammaproteobacteria; Enterobacterales; Yersiniaceae.